GCCUGGGUGGCUCAGUCGGUUAAGUGUCUGACUUCGGCUCAGGUCAUGAUCUCAUGGUUUGUGGGUUCGAGUCCCACAUCGGGCU
This 85-nucleotide transfer RNA is filed under the name Felis catus (domestic cat). It matches the Rfam family "tRNA". From Rfam's summary of the family: Transfer RNA (tRNA) molecules are approximately 80 nucleotides in length. Their secondary structure includes four short double-helical elements and three loops (D, anti-codon, and T loops). Lineage: Eukaryota; Metazoa; Chordata; Mammalia; Carnivora; Felidae. The record is from Rfam by way of RNAcentral.